UCCCGGCGGUCCAAGUCGCAUCCACAAUUAUUGGGUCUAAAACAUCCGUAGCUUGUUUUGUAAGUCUCUUGUGAAAUUUCAAAUCUCAAGUUUGAAGCGUGCAAGAGAUACUGCGAAACUAGAGACCGGAAGACGCAAAGAGUACGUUUGAGGUAGUGGUAAAAUAUGUUAAUCUUGAACGGACUAACAGUGGCGAAGGCGCUUUGCGAGUACGGAUCUGACAGUGAGGGAUGAAGGCUAGGGGCGCAAAAGG
RNAcentral lists this ribosomal RNA (253 nucleotides) under uncultured archaeon. Its description in RNAcentral is "partial 16S ribosomal RNA". It matches the Rfam family "Archaeal small subunit ribosomal RNA", at positions 474 to 726 of the family's 1478-position model. The record is from RNAcentral.